AGGAGCUGCCUAACCAUGCAAGUCGAACGAGCUCUUCGGAGCUAGUGGCGGACGGGUGAGUAACACGUGAGAAUCUGCCUCAAGGUCGGGGACAACAGUUGGAAACGACUGCUAAUACCCGAUAUGCCGGAAGGUAAAAGAUUUAUUGCCUGGAGAGGAGCUCGCGUCCGAUUAGCUAGUUGGUAGGGUAAAAGCCUACCAAGGCGACGAUCGGUAGCUGGUCUGAGAGGAUGAGCAGCCACACUGGGACUGAGACACGGCCCAGACUCCUACGGGAGGCAGCAGUGGGGAAUUUUCCGCAAUGGGCGCAAGCCUGACGGAGCAAUACCGCGUGAGGGAGGAAAGCCUUUGGGUUGUAAACCUCUUUUAUCAGGGAAGAAAAUUUGACAGUACCUGAAGAAAAAGCAUCGGCUAACUCCGUGCCAGCAGCCGCGGUAAUACGGAGGAUGCAAGCGUUGUCCGGAAUCAUUGGGCGUAAAGGGUCUGCAGGUGGCCAUUCAAGUCUGCUGUCAAAGACCGGGGCUCAACUCCGGGAAGGCAGUGGAAACUGGGUGGCUAGAGUACGGUAGAAGUAGAGGGAAUUCUCAGUGUAGCGGUGAAAUGCGUAGAUAUUGGGAAGAACACCGGUGGCGAAAGCGCUCUACUGGGCCGAAACUGACACUGAGGGACGAAAGCUAGGAAAGCGAAAGGGAUUAGAUACCCCUGUAGUCCUAGCUGUAAACGAUGGAUACUAGGUGUAGCUUGUAUCGACCCGAGCUGUACCGAAGCUAACGCGUUAA
Molecule: ribosomal RNA, 779 nt
Filed under: uncultured cyanobacterium
Lineage: Bacteria; Bacillati; Cyanobacteriota
Description: bacterial SSU rRNA
Rfam family: Bacterial small subunit ribosomal RNA
Source: RNAcentral